AAAUGUGAAGCAACAGACUCAUCUGAAUAAACUGAGACUGGAGUCACUGUAUCUCUCCUAUAGGCUUUUUCAUGAUUCAGAAUACAGAUAUCAUCUUCUACCAGUGCAUCCAUGACAGCUAUUGAAAAGAAUAAAAGCAGAACAGCAUAGGGGUUCAAGAACAUGGACCUGGACCCAGACUGCCAGGGUUUGAUCCAAGCUGUACUACUUGGUGUCUACGUGACUUUCG
Long non-coding RNA from Manis pentadactyla (Chinese pangolin), 229 nucleotides. RefSeq lists it as uncharacterized. Lineage: Eukaryota; Metazoa; Chordata; Mammalia; Pholidota; Manidae. The transcript has 2 exons. The record is from RefSeq and is a predicted model, not a curated record.